Molecule: ribosomal RNA, 253 nt
Filed under: uncultured bacterium
Lineage: Bacteria
Description: partial 16S ribosomal RNA
Rfam family: Bacterial small subunit ribosomal RNA
Source: RNAcentral
UACAGAGGUGGCGAGCGUUAUUCGGAAUUAUUGGGCGUAAAGGGCGCGUAGGCGGCUUGACAAGUCCCGGGUGAAAUCCCUCGGCUCAACCGAGGAACUGCCUUGGAAACUGUCUGGCUUGAGGCCGGGAGAGGGUAGUGGAAUUCCCAGUGUAGCGGUGAAAUGCGUAGAUACUGGGAGGAACACCGGUGGCGAAGGCGGCGACCUGGUCCGAUACUGACGCUGAGGCGCGAAAGCGUGGGGAGCAAACAGG